RNAcentral lists this unclassified non-coding RNA (240 nucleotides) under soil metagenome. RNAcentral describes it as "partial contains 5.8S ribosomal RNA, internal transcribed spacer 2, and large subunit ribosomal RNA". The record is from RNAcentral.
AACCUUAUGGACCUGCGGGCGUAUACCUGCGGAAGGAUCAUUACAGAGUUGCAAAACUCCCACAAACCAUCGCGAAUCUUACCCGUACGGUUGCCUCGGCGCUGGCGGUCCGGAAGGCCCUCGGGCCCCCGGACCCUCGGGUCUCCCGCUCGCGGGAGGCUGCCCGCCGGAGUGCCGAAACCAAACUCUUGAUAUUUUUAUGUCUCUCUGAGUAAACUUUUAAAUAAGUCAAAACUUUUA